UUCCUUUGUAGACUAAUCCAA
This 21-nucleotide microRNA is filed under the name Picea abies (Norway spruce). RNAcentral's name for it is "pab-miR11561". The record is from miRBase by way of RNAcentral. Lineage: Eukaryota; Viridiplantae; Streptophyta; Pinopsida; Pinales; Pinaceae.